RNAcentral lists this ribosomal RNA (487 nucleotides) under Microphotus octarthrus. RNAcentral describes it as "partial 16S ribosomal RNA". It matches the Rfam family "Bacterial large subunit ribosomal RNA", at positions 1830 to 2599 of the family's 2925-position model. Lineage: Eukaryota; Metazoa; Arthropoda; Insecta; Coleoptera; Lampyridae. The record is from RNAcentral.
GUCUUUUUGAUUAUAAUUUAAAGUCUAAUCUGCUCAAUGAGUAUUUAAAUAGCCGCAGUAUUUUGACUGUGCAAAGGUAGCGUGAUAAUUAGUCUCUUAAUUAGAGGCUUGCAUGAAUGAUUUGACAAGAAAAUUUCUGUCUCUCUUUAAUUUUAUGAAUUUAAUUUUUAAGUUAAAAUGCUUAAAUAUUUAUAAAAGACGAGAAGACCCCAUAGAGUUUAAUUCUUAUAUUUUUUUAGUAUUAGUAUUUAAGAAGAAAUUAGUUGGGGUGACUGAAAGAUUAAAAUAAUUCUUUUAACUUUGAUCAUUGAUUUGUGAAUAAUAAAUCUAGUUUUAUAAUUUUAAAUUAAAUUACCUUGGGGAUAACAGCGUAAUUCCUUUUAAGAGUUCUUAUCAAAUAAGGAGAUUGCGACCUCGAUGUUGGAUUAAAAUUUAUGUUAGGUGUAGAAGCUUAAUUAUUAAGUCUGUUCGACUUUUAGAAUUUUAC